AUUCGCUGUACUCCAUCCCCCUCAUGGUUGCCUUAUUUGACUUAUAUUGCUGAGGAACCCCCGAAGCAUGUGUUGUCGCCCCGAUGAAAUAUUCUUAGACUAGGUCCCUUAUGUUAGUUGUCUUAGGGACAUAAAAUGAGAAUAACGGGAAUGGGUAAUUAGGUUAUUGUUGGUUGGUGGAAAUUAAAUUUAAUUAUAUAUUGUGGGUUGAAAACCCUAUAUGCUCACCAGGCUCCCAAGCCUGACCCACUCAGUUUUGUUUGUAUUAUAGGAAGUGACGCGAGGGAAUAAGAUGGAUGAACCAUCAACUUGUUUUGUUUACAAGUCUGUAUAUGUAUAUAUUUGUUGAAUGACUUGUAAUGUUAUUGUUUAUGCUUAUUGGUCUGUUUCGGAACAUGACACCCCGAGUUUUGAUUAUAUAAUGAAAAUACAUUUCUUUUAUGAAAUGCUUUGGUAAACAUUGUUUUAUCAUGUUUUGUUUUUGGGAACAAAUUCCGCAACUCUUUCAAAUCAAAAGGAUUUACUCUGAAAUUAUUUUAAAAGCAUAAAUGAAAAUCGGUCUUUUCUGGCCAAGAUUUUGGGGAUGUCACAGUUGGUAUCAGAGCAUUAGUUUAAGCGAACUAGGAAUUUGUAGGAUUUCUAGACUUAAACUUAGAAUGCUAAGUGAAGUUUUGAGAUGUGUGUCUGUUAUGUUUUAGACACGAGCACUAGUUUAUUUUAGGAAAGUUGCCUAAAAUGCUUUAUGUGCUAAAUGUUAUAUGUUGCCAUAUAUGAUAUUAUUUGUUCGGAUCUAUGGUCUGUUGCCGACCGGAUCUAGAAACCUUAUGUGUGUAGGAUUCUAAGCGUACGUCUACGAUAUUAGAACUAGCAUGUAAACGUUUCGGAGUGAUAAGGAUGAUUUGAAUAUCUAUCAUGAUUGAGGAUCUAAUUUCACCUUAUUCGGUGUAGAUCAAAAUGGUGAGAACAAGAAGUGGAGUUGGAAAUGCUGACGAAAACAGGAAUCAACCACCAGUGAUUGAGCAAAUACCUGUCGUAGCAGCAGCACCUGAGCCAAUAACCAUGGCUGGUGUGCAAAUGAUGAUUCAGACGAUGUUGGAUCGUCAGAUGGAUGAAACUAGACGGUUGCUUCAACAGAAUCGUGAAGAACUGUCAAUUCGUGUGGAAGAGCCUGAAUUAAAUGAAGGGCACUCGGAAGGUGGAAACUUCAGUGGGUCUGUUGGUCAAGCCAACCCACCGAUAGUUAGGCAAGAUAACCAUGAUGGAAGGAAUGAUGGAAUGGGAUGCAAGUACAAGGACUUUUUGACUUGCAAACCAUCGACCUUCAAUGGAAAGGAGGAUCCGAUUGGGGUUAUGGAUUGGAUCUCCGAAAUGGAGCUAGCCUUCAUGACGUGUGGCUGCAGAGGUAAGUUGCAAACUAUCUAUGCCGUGCGUCAAUUCCGAGGUGGAGCCGUUCGUUGGUGGAACACUCUAGGGAAGACCUUAAGCCCUAAUGAGCCACUGCAAUUGUCAUGGGCAGAGUUCUUGGUGCAGUUCAAGCGCAAGUUCUGCUCGGCUCAAAAUCUGUUGGAGUUGGAGAACAAGUUUUUGACAUUGACGAAGGGUAGCAUGUCAGUGGAUGAGUACACCAAUAACUUCACCGAUAAGAUGGAGUUUGCCUUGCGUAUCGUUCCAGACGAGCUGACAAAGGUGGAUCGGUAUGCGAAGGGACUUCCAUGGGAGUACGAGGUGCCAGUACGUCAGGCACUUACUCUAGAGGCAGCUAUCUGGGCUGCCAAGUCUGUGGAGAACAUGAUCAAGGGGAGAACCACCGUCAAGGUUGAGGUUGGUGAGAAAAGGAAGUUUGAAGGAACAUCUGGUUCCAGUAAGAAGAGCAAAUUUUCGAAAUCUGAUUCGAAAAAGUUUGGAGGAAAAGGAGGCGAAGCAAAGUGGUGUGAUAAGUGUAAGAAAAAGCACUUUGGGAAAUGUAGCGAGGAUGUGACCUGCUACAAGUGUGGAAAGGUUGGACAUUUUGCCAAUGAAUGUCCGAACAACAAAAGGAUGUGUUUUGGGUGUAAUGAAGAGGGGCAUAUUUUGAAAGACUGUCCGAAGAAGAAGGAGGCAGCUAGGCCCAACAUUCCACCAAAGCCGAAGGCGAGAGCCUUCCAGAUGACACUUGAGGCUGCGAAAGAUGAAGCUGAUGUCGCUUCAGGUACCUUUCUCGUAAACGAAUUACCUGCUCAUAUAUUGUUUGAUUCUGGAGCCAACUACUCCUUUAUUUCGCAUGAGUUUGGUAGAAAGCUAGCUUUGCCUGUUGAUAGACUAAAUAAUGCUUUAUUAGUCGAAGUAGCUAGUGGCAAGUUUGUACCUGUUAGCCAUCGUAUGAAAAACGUCUUGAUCGACCUUAAUGGGAAUAAGUUUCUCGAGGAAUUAUUGCCUAUCGAACUAAAUGGUUUCGACAUCGUCUUGGGAAUGGAUUGGCUUAGCGCCAAUGAUGCCGAAAUUUUGUGCAAGAAGAAGAUAGUUAAAGUAAACCCGCCUGGGAAAGAUUCGUUUAUGGUGUAUGGGGACAAAUGCAGAGUGAAUUUUGGAAUCAUUUCCCUAAUGAAAGCCAGAAAGUGUUUGACCAAGGGAUGUACAUCAUAUUUAGCAUUCGUGAUUGAUGCUAAGAAAGAAAAGAAGGUGAUGCAGAGUAUUCCAGUGGUGUGUGAUUAUCCGGAAGUAUUUCCCGAGGAUCUUCCUGGAUUACCACCUGAUAGACAAGUGGAGUUCAGAAUAGACUUGUUACCAGGAACCACGCCAAUAGCAAAAGCACCUUAUCGAUUAGCACCGACGGAGAUGAAGGAGCUGAUGAUGCAACUUCAGGAGUUAUUGGACAAAGGUUUCAUUAGACCUAGUUCAUCGCCCUGGGGAGCUCCGGUGUUAUUUGUAAAGAAGAAAGAUGGAAGUAUGAGAAUGUGCAUCGAUUACAGAGAGCUGAACAAGGCAACAAUAAAGAAUAGAUAUCCGUUGCCGAGGAUUGAUGACCUGUUUGAUCAAUUGCAAGGUUCGAGCUAUUUCUCGAAGAUCGAUCUUAGGUCAGGAUAUCAUCAGCUGAAAGUAAGAGAGCAAGAUAUCGAGAAGACUGCAUUCAGAACUAGAUAUGGACACUACGAGUUCUUGGUUAUGUCGUUUGGACUAACCAAUGCUCCAGCAGCGUUCAUGGAUUUGAUGAAUAGGGUUUGUAAUCCUUUCCUUGAUAAAUCCGUGAUAGUGUUCAUAGACGACAUUCUGAUCUACUCGAAAAGCCAGGAGGAGCAUGGCAGACACUUGCGAGAAGUGUUAGAAGUUUUGAAGAAGGAGAAGCUUUAUGCGAAGUUCUCCAAAUGUGAUUUUUGGAUUCGUGAGGUCCAAUUCUUGGGUCACGUGGUCAACCAAGAAGGGAUAAUGGUUGAUCCAGCGAAGAUCGAAGCUGUGACGAAGUGGGAACAACCGAAAAGUCCCACGGAGAUUCGAAGCUUUUUAGGAUUAGCCGGAUAUUACCGAAGGUUUAUCCAAGGCUUUUCUUCGAUUGCUACUCCAUUAACAGCUUUGACCCACAAAGGAGCUACUUAUGCUUGGAGUGAGAAGCAUAAAGAAGCAUUCGAGAAGUUAAAGAAGAAGCUAUGCGAGGCACCGAUACUUUCUCUACCCGAUGGAGUUGAAGACUUCGCUGUUUAUAGCGAUGCGUCUGGUGUUGGAUUGGGUUGUGUUUUGACCCAAAGAGAAAAGGUGAUAGCAUAUGCGUCUCGACAGCUGAAAGAGCAUGAAAAGAAUUACCCGACUCAUGAUUUGGAGUUGGCAGCGGUAGUUUUCGCUCUGAAAAUAUGGAGGCAUUACCUCUAUGGCACGAAGUGCAAACUUUUCACUGAUCAUAAGAGUCUCCAAUACCUCUUUAAUCAGAAAGAAUUGAAUAUGAGGCAACGACGCUGGCUAGAAUUACUUAAAGACUACGACUGCGAGAUACUUUACCACCCCGGUAAAGCUAAUGUUGUUGCUGAUGCUCUCAGUCGGAAGGUCAAUCUUGAAAGGAAGAGGCCAAGAGCGUUGAGAAUUGAAGUUGUCUCGACCAUUGUGGAAAGUAUAAAGAAAGCUCAAGAGGAAGCUUCUGAGAAAAAUGACCGAAAGGAGGAACGUUUGGGUAAAACGUUGGUGUUUGGUACUAACGGUCAUGGACUGAAGGUAUUCCAAGAUCGUAUUUGGGUACCUAAGUCAGGAGGAAUUAGGGAUCUUCUGAUGGAAGAAGCUCACAAGACCAUGUACUCGAUUCAUCCGGGUAGCACUAAAAUGUAUAGGGACCUGAAACCCUACUACUGGUGGCCGACGAUGAAGCUUGAUGUUGCAAAGUAUGUGGCCGAGUGUGUGACUUGUGCGAGAGUCAAGACACAACAUCAGAAACCGUACGGGAGUUUAGAACCUUUGCCUGUGCCUAUGGGUAAGUGGGAAGACAUUGCUAUGGAUUUUGUCACUAAACUGCCCAGAACAAAGAAUGGUCACGACAUGAUUUGGGUGGUCGUUGAUCGAUUCACUAAGAGUGCGCAUUUCAUAGCGGCCAGGGAGAAAUGGUCUAUGGAAAAGCUUGCGAAUUCUUACGUGAAGGAAAUUGUGAGGCUUCACGGUGUUCCGUUAACGAUUGUAUCGGAUCGUGAUAGCCGUUUCACCUCAAGGUUUUGGAAAAGUCUACAAGAGGAAAUGGGUACCAAGUUAUGUUUAAGCACAGCUUACCAUCCGCAGACUGAUGGUCAGAGUGAAAGAACAAUACAAACACUUGAAGAUAUGCUGAGAGCAUGUACCUUGGAAUUCCUAGGUAAUUGGGAUGAACAUUUACCGUUGGUAGAAUUUUCCUAUAAUAAUAGUUUUCACUCGAGCAUUAAGAUGGCACCUUAUCAAGCUUUGUAUGGACAGAAGUGUCGUACGCCGUCUUGUUGGCUUGAGGCUGGGGAAAAGCAGUUUAUGGGACCGGAGAUGGUUCAUCAAACUGCUGAAAAGUUGAAAAUAAUUAGGGAAAGAAUGUUAGCAGCUCAAGAUCGUCAAAAGAGCUAUGCUGACAAGAAGCGAAGACCGAUGACUUUUGAGGUUGGAGAUUCGGUUUUGCUUAAAGUCUCGCCGUGGAAGGGACUUAUAAGAUUUGGUAAAAGGGGAAAGUUGAGUCCAAGGUUUAUUGGACCGUUUAAAGUCCUUCAGAGGAUUGGGAAUCAAGCUUACAAGCUCGAAUUACCCGAAGAACUGAAUGGAAUUCACAACACCUUUCAUGUGUGUUAUUUGAGGAAGUUCACGGGAGAAGUUCCCGAUAUAAUUCCAAUUUCUGAAUUGAGAAUUGAUGAGAACAAAAGGUUGAUUGAAGAACCAGAGGCAAUUGUUGACCGAAAGACUAAGAAGUUGCGACGCAAAAUGGUUGGGUUAGUGCUUGUCCGAUGGAAACACACGAAUGGGCCGAAUCUCACCUGGGAGACGGAGAGUGACAUGUUGAGUCGCUAUCCGCAUUUGUUUGUUGAUGUGUGAUUCCGGGGACGGAAUCAUUCUAAGGUGGAGAGAAUUGUAACGCCUGUGUUUCCGGGCUUGCCAUUUUUAGCAAUGUAAUAGUCUAGGUUAACCUUUGUAACCCGUUUUGAAAUAAUAAGAGUGUAUUAUUUGAGUAUUAUGUGUUUUGUGCUUAAUUGCUUAAUUAUGUGGUUUGAUUAAUUAAGAAUAAAAAUAAGCGUCAAAAUUUAAGUGUAAAAUAAACUUGAUAUCUUUGGAUAAUGUUGUAGUAGUUGAAACGAGGUUUCCGAAUAUAUAUAGAACGCCCAAAUCUGACUUCGUAUGAGGAAGUUAUGAUUUAUCGAAGUUUCGGCUUAGCGGUGUGCAGCCUGAAAUACUCGAUUUGAGAUCGAGCGGUUUUUAGCCGAAGCAAUCUAAACGAGGAUCGAAGGUCUCGUUGUUGGUAUCGAAGCGAUAAAAAGUUAGGCGAGAACGGACGUCAAACGAAGAAGUUAUGAAUUUAUAACGAAGUUUUUCUGUCCCGGCCUAUUAAAAAUAAAUAUUAAAAAUAAAUUUAAAAUUAGCCGACGGAGUCUAAACAAAAGUUGUAGAGCGUAGUCUCACCUUCGCGUGGAUAUAAAGAACGUCGAAAACGGAGUUCGUAUGAAGAAGAUAUGAAUUUCCGAAGUUUAUUAAAUAAUUUGUAUUUAAAUUUAAUCUUUAAUUCGGAUGAUUAUCCGAAGGAUUUACCGAUCUGAUCCGAAGUACGCCCCGCGUACACCGAGGGAUGUCGACACUCGCACUCGAGUUCUUCGGAUACGUAAGCAGUGACGAUUUCGGACCUGUACGCGGGGCGUAUAGGCGUACACCCCGCAUACUCCGAGGCUCCAGUCUCCUAUAAAUAGGAUCUGAAGGCAGUCGAGUUCUUUGCUAUUUUUCUCUCUUCUCUCUCCCGUUUUGCAUUGAUUUGCAUGCCAGAAAUACCCCGAAGCCCCGAUAUUAUUAUCGAGCCCCGAGGCAAGUCCCGAGAUCCCGACGAUCCCGAGAAGUGCGGUUCCCGAGCCGAAGCUCUACCCGCGAGAAGUUCAAUUAUUGUGAAGAUCUUCCAGAUCUGCUGAGGAUUACUACUUCUGCAAGUCAUAGUGCUGUCCGAUCAUCUUCUGAUCAAGUGAGUGUAUACUACCUUUCAUAAACACAAUAAUAAUACAAGUAUGGUUCGAGUGUAUUAAGUAUAUUGUUGUUUAUAUGUGUGAGUAUGUAGUUACUUUCUUCUAACGCAUAAUCGUGAAGUAUUUUAUACGAAAUACGUGUUAUGUGUACAUUUUGUGUUAUAUGUGUGAACGUAUAUUCACUCUCUGCUAUCUCAUAGAUCUGAUUUGUUUUCUAUGAAAUACGUGUUAUGUGUGCGUGCCUCAUCUGUUAUGUGGAAUAUGUAUUGAUCAAAGCAUGCUAUAUAGGUUUUUAUUCAUGUAUAAAAAUGUAUAUUUUUAUCUACUAAUAUGUUGGGUAGAACAUGGGUAGAUAGUUGGUGUGUAAUAAAUAGAUGAGAGGCCUCGUUGUUGUUUGAUUCAGUCAUCUAGCAGAUUUUAGAUGAUGACCACAAACUUUUCUAGACAGUCUUGUGGAACAUUAGCAGGUUCGCCACCUGUAGGUGUUAAUGAACUUCGGUGUUCAUUCGCUCUACUCCAUCCCCCUCAUGGUUGCCUUAUUUGACUUAUAUUGUUGAGGAACCCCCGAAGCAUGUGUUGUCGCCUCGAUGAAAUAUUCUUAGACUAGGUCCCUUAUGUUAGUUGUCUUAGGGACAUAAAAUGAGAAUAACGGGAAUGGGUAAUUGGGUUAUUGUUGGUUGGUGGAAAUUAAAUAUGAUUAUUUAUUGUGGGUUGAAAACCCUAUAUGCUCACCAGGCUCCCAAGCCUGACCCACUCAGUUUUAUUUGUAUUACAGGAAGUGGCGCG
RNAcentral lists this long non-coding RNA (7409 nucleotides) under Lactuca sativa (garden lettuce). RNAcentral describes it as "long non-coding RNA (LSAT_LNC001194)". Lineage: Eukaryota; Viridiplantae; Streptophyta; Magnoliopsida; Asterales; Asteraceae. The record is from RNAcentral.